GUGGGGAAUCUUGCGCAAUGGGCGAAAGCCUGACGCAGCCAUGCCGCGUGGAUGAUGAAGGUCUUAGGAUUGUAAAAUCCUUUCACCGGUGAAGAUAAUGACUGUAGCCGGAGAAGAAGCCCCGGCUAACUUCGUGCCAGCAGCCGCGGUAAUACGAAGGGGGCUAGCGUUGCUCGGAUUUACUGGGCGUAAAGGGCGCGUAGGCGGACAUUUAAGUCAGGGGUGAAAUCCCGGGGAUCAACCUCGGAACUGCCUUUGAUACUGGGUGUCUUGAGUAUGAGAGAGGUGUGUGGAACUCCGAGUGUAGAGGUGAAAUUCGUAGAUAUUCGGAAGAACACCAGUGGCGAAGGCGACACACUGGCUCAUUACUGACGCUGAGGCGCGAAAGCGUGGGGAUCAAACAGGAUUAGAUACCCUGGUAGUCC
RNAcentral lists this ribosomal RNA (425 nucleotides) under uncultured bacterium. Its description in RNAcentral is "partial 16S ribosomal RNA". It matches the Rfam family "Bacterial small subunit ribosomal RNA", at positions 354 to 796 of the family's 1533-position model. The record is from RNAcentral.